Molecule: ribosomal RNA, 301 nt
Filed under: uncultured bacterium
Lineage: Bacteria
Description: partial 16S ribosomal RNA
Rfam family: Bacterial small subunit ribosomal RNA
Source: RNAcentral
CAGUCGCCACGGUAAAACGAAGGGGGCUAGCGUUGCUCGGAAUGACUGGGCGUAAAGGGCGCGUAGGCGGCGAUCAAAGUCAGGCGUGAAAUUCCUGGGCUCAACCUGGGGGCUGCGCUUGAUACUUGGUUGCUUGAGUGGGGAAGAGGGUCGUGGAAUUCCCAGUGUAGAGGUGAAAUGCGUAGAUAUGCGGAGGAACACCGAUGGCGAAGGCAGCCCCCUGGGCCAAUACUGACGCUCAUGCACGAAAGCGUGGGGAGCAAACAGGAUUAGAUACCCCUGUAGUCCCUGUCUCUUAUAC